Molecule: ribosomal RNA, 106 nt
Filed under: Caerostris darwini
Lineage: Eukaryota; Metazoa; Arthropoda; Arachnida; Araneae; Araneidae
Source: RNAcentral
UGGCCAUACCAUGCUGAAUAUACCGGUUCUCGUUAGAUCACCGAAGUCAAGCAUCAUUGGGCGCGGUCAGUACUUGGGUGGGUGAUCACCUGGGAACGCCGUGUGC